UGCGCUCCUCCUGGGCGGCGCCGGGUGUCAUCCAUCUUCUUGCAAAUUAACCAGUUUCUCACGUUUCUCUGCAGAAUCUCCUUCUCAAAGCGCCCGAUCCUCCAGGUGGGAAAGGAGGAAAAAUAAAAAUUAAAAAAAUCUUAAAAAUGCCGUGAUGUGACAGUCCCCAACCUGGUCUCCCAGCCGCGGCGCUGCGAGAUGAGGCGGUUCCGUCCCGACUGGAUUUUCCAUCUUUCUCUCCUUUUAUUUGUUGGUUUAAUGCACCUGGAGAGAACUAGAAGGUUCCGAGGCCACCUGCCUCCCAUCCGGGUGGACCGUCCCGGGUGCUUUGUCACAGUAACGGAAACCUGACGAGUGCAUCCGUCCCCCUUUGAGAGAGAGAAUCAGGCGCAGGGCUUACCUGAGGUCACUCAGGA
This is a long non-coding RNA of Ictidomys tridecemlineatus (thirteen-lined ground squirrel), 416 nucleotides long. RefSeq lists it as uncharacterized. The record is from RefSeq and is a predicted model, not a curated record. Lineage: Eukaryota; Metazoa; Chordata; Mammalia; Rodentia; Sciuridae.